CACGUAGGGGGCAAGCGUUGUCCGGAAUCAUUGGGCGUAAAGAGCUCGUAGGCGGCUCAGUAAGUCGGGUGUGAAACCCUCAGGCUCAACCUGGGGACGCCACCCGAUACUGCUGUGGCUAGAGUCCAGUAGGGGAGUGUGGAAUUCCCGGUGUAGCGGUGAAAUGCGCAGAUAUCGGGAGGAACACCAGCGGCGAAGGCGGCACUCUGGGCUGGUACUGACGCUGAGGAGCGAAAGCGUGGGGAGCGAACAGG
Molecule: ribosomal RNA, 254 nt
Filed under: uncultured bacterium
Lineage: Bacteria
Description: partial 16S ribosomal RNA
Rfam family: Bacterial small subunit ribosomal RNA
Source: RNAcentral